This 445-nucleotide ribosomal RNA is filed under the name uncultured bacterium. Its description in RNAcentral is "bacterial SSU rRNA". It matches the Rfam family "Bacterial small subunit ribosomal RNA", at positions 354 to 796 of the family's 1533-position model. The record is from RNAcentral.
GUGAGGAAUAUUGCGCAAUGAAGGCAACUCUGACGCAGCCAUGCCGCGUGCAGGAAGAAGGCGCUACGCGUUGUAAACUGCUUUUAACCGGGAAGAAACCCCAGGACGUGUCCUGGGUUGACGGUACCGGAGGAAUAAGCACCGGCUAACUUCGUGCCAGCAGCCGCGGUAAUACGAAGGGUGCAAGCGUUAUCCGGAUUCAUUGGGUUUAAAGGGUGCGUAGGCGGAGCGUUAAGUCAGUGGUGAAAUCCUGCAGCUUAACUGUAGACUUGCCAUUGAUACUGGCGCUCUUGAGUGCGCUUGAAGUGGGCGGAAUGUGCCGUGUAGCGGUGAAAUGCUUAGAUAUGGCACAGAACACCAAUUGCGAAGGCAGCUCACUAAGGCGAUACUGACGCUGAGGCACGAAAGCGUGGGGAUCGAACAGGAUUAGAAACCCUAGUAGUCC